GCCUACCCCGAGGUUAUCCCCCCGACACCUGGCCAUAGACAAAUGUUGUCACUUGAUAACGGGAUCACAUCAUUAGGAGAAUGAUGUGAUGGACAAGACCAAACUAUAAACGUAGCAUGUGAUCGUGUCAUUUUGUUGCUAUUGUUUUCUGUAUGUCAAGUAUACAUUCUUAUGACCGUGAGAUCAUGUAACUCACUGACACCGGAGGAAUGCCUUGUGUGUAUCAAACGUCGUAACGUAACUGGGUGACUAUAAAGGUGCUCUAUACGUAUCUCUGAAGGUGUUCGGUUGAGUUAGCAUGGAUCAAGACUGGGAUUUGUCACUCCCUGUGACGGAGAGGUAUCACGGGGUCCACUCGGUAAUACAACAUGACAAACAAGCCUUGCAAGCAAUGUGACUAAAGAGUUAGCCAGGGGAUCUUGUAUUACGAAACGAGUAAAGAGACUUGCCGGUAACAGAUUGAAAUAGAUAUUGAGAUACCGACGAUCGAAUCUCGGGAAAAUAACAUACCGAAGGACAAAGGGAAUGGUAUAUGGGAUUUUAUGAAUCCUUGACAUAGAGGUUCAACCGAUAAUAUUAUCUAGAAUAUGUAGGAUCCAAUAUGGGCAUCCAGGUCUCG
RNAcentral lists this long non-coding RNA (619 nucleotides) under Hordeum vulgare. RNAcentral's name for it is "long non-coding RNA (HVUL_LNC011560)". The record is from RNAcentral. Lineage: Eukaryota; Viridiplantae; Streptophyta; Magnoliopsida; Poales; Poaceae.